RNAcentral lists this microRNA precursor (90 nucleotides) under Podarcis lilfordi (Lilford's wall lizard). The record is from RNAcentral. Lineage: Eukaryota; Metazoa; Chordata; Lepidosauria; Squamata; Lacertidae.
AAUGUGUAUGUGUAUAUAUAUGUGUGUGUGUGUGUGUGUGUGUGUAUAUACACACACACACACACACACACGCAUAUGUAUAUGUAUAUG